This 328-nucleotide ribosomal RNA is filed under the name uncultured eukaryote. Its description in RNAcentral is "partial 18S ribosomal RNA". It matches the Rfam family "Eukaryotic small subunit ribosomal RNA", at positions 1470 to 1796 of the family's 1831-position model. The record is from RNAcentral.
CCCUUAGAUGUUCUGGGCCGCACGCGCGCUACACUGACGAAUGCAACGAGCUUAUAACCUUGGCCGAAAGGUCUGGGUAAUCUCCAAAUUUCGUCGUGAUGGGGAUAGAUUAUUGCAAUUAUUAAUCUUCAACGAGGAAUGCCUAGUAAGCGCAAGUCAUCAGCUUGCGUUGAUUACGUCCCUGCCCUUUGUACACACCGCCCGUCGCUCCUACCGAUUGAAUGAUCCGGUGAGCUUUUUGGACUGUGGUCACGGCUUUGGUUCGCCAAACUGAGGCCGCGGGAAGAUGCGCAAACCUUAUCAUUUAGAGGAAGGAGAAGUCGUAACA